GAUGAACGCUGGCGGCGUGCCUAAUACAUGCAAGUCGAGCGAACAGACGAGGCGCUUGCUCCUCUGACGUUAGCGGCGGACGGGUGAGUCACACGUGGAUAACCUACCUAUAAGACUGGGAUAACUUCGGGAAACCGGCGCUAAUACCGGAUAAUCUAUUGAACCGCAUGGUUCAAUAGUGAAAGACGGUUUUGCUGUCACUUAUAGAUGGAUCCGCGCCGCAUUAGCUAGUUGGUAAGGUAACGGCUUUCCAAGGCAACGAUGCGUAGCCGACCGGCGAGGGGGAUCGGCCACACGGGAACUGAGACAGGGUCCAGAGUCCUACGGGAGGCAGCAGUAGGGAAUCGGCCGCAAUGGGCGAAAGCCUGACGGAGCAACGCCGCGUGAGUGAUGAAGGUCUUCGGAGCGUAAAACUCUGUUAUGAGGGAAGAACAAAUGUGUAAGGAACUAUGCACGGCGUGACGGUACCUAAUCAGAAAGCCACGGCUAACUACGUG
RNAcentral lists this ribosomal RNA (497 nucleotides) under uncultured bacterium. RNAcentral's name for it is "partial 16S ribosomal RNA". It matches the Rfam family "Bacterial small subunit ribosomal RNA", at positions 28 to 507 of the family's 1533-position model. The record is from RNAcentral.